RNAcentral lists this ribosomal RNA (776 nucleotides) under uncultured Neocallimastigales. RNAcentral describes it as "partial large subunit ribosomal RNA". It matches the Rfam family "Eukaryotic large subunit ribosomal RNA", at positions 24 to 631 of the family's 3401-position model. Lineage: Eukaryota; Fungi; Neocallimastigomycota; Neocallimastigomycetes; Neocallimastigales. The record is from RNAcentral.
UAUGUGAUCGUCUCUCGCAUAUCAAUAAGCGGAGGAAAAGAAACUAACAAGGAUUCCCCUAGUAACGGCGAGUGAAGCGGGAAGAGCUCAAAUUUGAAAUCUUAAAGGGUUUCCCCUUACGAAUUGUAGUUUAAAGAAGUGUUUUCUGUUGAGGUUUUGGUAAAAGUUCUUUGGAAUAGGACAUCAUAGAGGGUGAGAAUCCCGUAUUUGACCUUUACUUUCAACUUUGUGAUACACUUUCAAAGAGUCGGAUUGUUUGGGAAUGCAGUCCAAAAUGGGUGGUAAAUUUCAUCUAAAGCUAAAUAUUGGCGAGAGACCGAUAGCGAACAAGUACCGUGAGGGAAAGAUGAAAAGAACUUUGAAAAGAGAGUUAAACAGUACGUGAAAUUGUCAAAAGGGAAGCGUUUGACACCAGUGUUGUUUUUCUGAAAAUCAAUUAAAGAACUGUUUAUGCUAAGCUGUUUAGACUUUAUCAGCUAUCUGCUUAGUUUUGAGCUUUUCUUUAAUGCACUUUUCAGUUAACAAGGUCAACAUCAAUUUCUUUUGCUGUAAAAAAGCUUGAGGAAGGUGGCUUGAGAUUCGUCUUAAGUGUUUAUAGCCUCUUGCCUAUGCAGUCAGGAGAGAUUGAGGUCUGCAGCGUAGAUCCUUCGGGGCUAAAUGCAUUUGUGCUAAGUUAUAGCAUUUUAUAGACAACUUGUUGACUAUGAUUUGUCUUGUAGCUUACUCGCUUAUGUUAUUUUACCUACGCUUAGGAUGUUGAUCUACAGAGCGAGAGU